AUGCGUGAUACGUGUCAAAAAGCAAAGAGUCAUCAAUUACCAUAUUGUAAUUUGAUUAGUGAACUAAGUGCUCCUUUAGAGCUUAUAUUUUCUGAUGUUUGGCGCCCUGCGCUUGAGUCUUUUGGAUGGAUGAAAUACCAUGCUAGUUUUAUUGAUGAUAGCAAGUUCACAUGGAUUUAUCUAAUCAAACACAAAUCUGAAGUAUUCCAAAUAUUCCAUGAUUUUCAAGCUCUCGUGGAUCUACAAUUUAGUAAGAAGAAUCUUGCUAUUCAGUCUGACUUGGGAGUAGAGUAUGAAAAACUCUCUUUUUUUUACCAAAAUUGGUAUGUCUCUCAUCCACACACUCAUCAACAAAAUGGCUCUGUUGAGCGAAAACACCGUCACAUUAUUGAAACAAAAUUGUCUCUUUUAGCUCAUGGACCCUUGAGUUUUGGAUGA
RNAcentral lists this ribosomal RNA (438 nucleotides) under Triticum aestivum (bread wheat). Its description in RNAcentral is "partial small subunit ribosomal RNA". The record is from RNAcentral. Lineage: Eukaryota; Viridiplantae; Streptophyta; Magnoliopsida; Poales; Poaceae.